Molecule: ribosomal RNA, 675 nt
Filed under: uncultured bacterium
Lineage: Bacteria
Description: bacterial SSU rRNA
Rfam family: Bacterial small subunit ribosomal RNA
Source: RNAcentral
CCUACCUUGUACUGGGGGACAACAGUUAGAAAUGACUGCUAAUACCGCAUAAGACCACAGUUUCGCAUGAAACAGGGGUAAAAACUCCGGUGGUACAAGAUGGACCCGCGUCUGAUUAGCUAGUUGGUGGGGUAACGGCCUACCAAGGCGACGAUCAGUAGCCGGCCUGAGAGGGUGAACGGCCACAUUGGGACUGAGACACGGCCCAAACUCCUACGGGAGGCAGCAGUGGGGAAUAUUGCACAAUGGGCGAAAGCCUGAUGCAGCGACGCCGCGUGAGUGAAGAAGUAUUUCGGUAUGUAAAGCUCUAUCAGCAGGGAAGAAAAUGACGGUACCUGACUAAGAAGCCCCGGCUAACUACGUGCCAGCAGCCGCGGUAAUACGUAGGGGGCAAGCGUUAUCCGGAUUUACUGGGUGUAAAGGGAGCGUAGACGGCUGUGUAAGUCUGAAGUGAAAGCCCGGGGCUCAACCCCGGGACUGCUUUGGAAACUAUGCAGCUGGAGUAUCGGAGAGGCAAGUGGAAUUCCCAGUGUAGCGGUGAAAUGCGUAGAUAUUGGGAGGAACACCAGUGGCGAAGGCGGCUUGCUGGACGAUGACUGACGUUGAGGCUCGAAAGCGUGGGGAGCAAACAGGAUUAAAUACCCUGGUAGUCCACGCCGUAAACGAUGACUACUA